Ochotona curzoniae (black-lipped pika) is the source of this 99-nucleotide long non-coding RNA. RefSeq lists it as uncharacterized. The record is from RefSeq and is a predicted model, not a curated record. The transcript is spliced from 3 exons. Lineage: Eukaryota; Metazoa; Chordata; Mammalia; Lagomorpha; Ochotonidae.
CAACUGUAUGUUAACAGCGAAACACUGGACAAAAGGAGACUCUAUGAUGGGCUAUGUCAAUCAGCGGAUUCUUCAACAGCCUCAUCGUGCCAGGAGUGG